This 372-nucleotide ribosomal RNA is filed under the name uncultured bacterium. RNAcentral describes it as "bacterial SSU rRNA". It matches the Rfam family "Bacterial small subunit ribosomal RNA", at positions 29 to 430 of the family's 1533-position model. The record is from RNAcentral.
AACGAACGCUGGCGGCAGGCUUAACACAUGCAAGUCGAACGGGCGUAGCAAUACGUCAGUGGCGGACGGGUGAGUAACACGUGGGAAUAUGCCUUUCGGUUCGGAACAACUCGGGGAAACCCGUGCUAAUUCCGGAUACGCCCUUACGGGGAAGAUUUAUCGCCGAAAGAUUAGCCCGCGUUGGAUUAGCUAGUUGGUGAGGUAAAGGCUCACCAAGGCGACGAUCCAUAGCUGGUUUGAGAGAACGACCAGCCACACUGGGACUGAGACACGGCCCAGACUCCUACGGGAGGCAGCAGUGGGGAAUCUUGCGCAAUGGGCGAAAGCCUGACGCAGCGACGCCGCGUGAGGGAUGACGGCCUCGGUGUAACU